Molecule: ribosomal RNA, 425 nt
Filed under: uncultured bacterium
Lineage: Bacteria
Description: partial 16S ribosomal RNA
Rfam family: Bacterial small subunit ribosomal RNA
Source: RNAcentral
GUUAGGAAUAUUGGACAAUGGACGCAAGUCUGAUCCAGCCAUGCCGCGUGAGUGAUGAAGGCCUUCGGGUUGUAAAGCUCUUUAGCCGAUGAUUAUAAUGACUGUAGUCGGAAAAUAAGCCACGGCUAACUUCGUGCCAGCAGCCGCGGUAAUACGAAGGGGGCGAGCGUUAUUCGGAAUCACUGGGCGUAAAGCGUGCGUAGGCGGUUUUGUAAGUUGGGAGUGAAAGCCCAGGGCUCAACCCUGGAAUUGCUCUCAAAACUACAAGACUUGAAUUCGGGAGAGGAUAGCGGAAUUGUCAGUGUAGCAGUGAAAUGCGUAGAUAUUGACAGGAACACCAGUGGCGUAAGCGGCUAUCUGGACCGACAUUGACGCUGAGGCACGAAAGCGUGGGGAUCAAACAGGAUUAGAAACCCUUGUAGUCC